This 1133-nucleotide long non-coding RNA is filed under the name Equus asinus (donkey). RNAcentral's name for it is "lncRNA (ENSEASG00005034073.1)". Lineage: Eukaryota; Metazoa; Chordata; Mammalia; Perissodactyla; Equidae. The record is from RNAcentral.
GGGCGGCGGGCAGCUCUUAGAAGUUUCACAGGAAGCCAGCCCAGGGGCUCCGGGACCAGUAAGAACUGGAAACGCGACGGGAACUCAGACAGCACCAGACACCCAGACCCGAGGCAAAACAGACUCUUCCGCUGUCCCAGGCCCUCUGCCCUGUCCACGGCCUAAGCCCCGCCCCAUCCCCCGGCCCCGCCUCUUCCCCGCCCCCUGCUCCCAGCCUUGCCUUGGCCGCAGGCGUCUUCUGGCGGAGGCGUCGUUUUCUCCUUUUUCUCCGCUGUCUGUUGUAGCGGACUUUCUCCGGUCGGGGUUUUCUCUCCUGUGCGCUGGGCGGAGGAAGAGCUCAGGGCCAGGGUAGAGGGGCGGAGGAGACCCCGGUGAGGCGAGGGCGUCCGACCCGUCCUGCCCCUCUGCCUCUCCUCGCUAGACCCAGGGACAGUGCGGCCAGAUCGAGGGUGGCUUCCAAAGGAGUCUGCAAGUGUUGCGCCCAGUGAGAGCCUCGGCUCUUCCUCCCCUGGGUGGGUGCGGACCUGGCAAACGGGCAGGAUGGCUGUGCAUGCCCCACCCAGUCCCCAAGGAUCUAGACCCACCUUGAUUACCGCAGUUACGACUAACCUCUCCCCUGCCCCAAAGAAACGAAUGUGAACCACCUUUCUGCGCCUAAAGGGCAGUUAGUUUCCGUGAUGGCUGAGAACGGAGCCCCCGAGAAGGACUGGGAUGUGGGAAGGUUAUGUUUUGGGAGGGGCUAGAACUGGCCUGCAGGAGGAACACAGAAGAAGGUGGGGGAGAGAGUGACCACCACCUCUGAGAAGGGUGCCAUUCUCUGUUUUACAACUUUUUAAUCAACCCACUAGUGGGUAUUCAUUUUGUGCUGUGCCUUCUAGGUGAGUGUUAGUUGAUGUGAGGGAAAGAAAGGUGUAUUGGAGUAGGCAAGGUGGUAAUUUUCUAUUCCUGGUCUCUGUCUUAGUCCAUGCUCCUUUCCCCCGACUCCUGUGGUUAUCACCCACUAAGCCUGGAAGAAUAAAUCCUGCUGGAGAUAGACUUGUGAACUCCUGGUUGAUAGACCAGGAUGUGUGGUGAUAAUCUCCAGGUUCUAGUGUUUGAAAUUUUAUUUUAGGUCAAACGAGUGUAAAGGGUAG